This 69-nucleotide microRNA precursor is filed under the name Ptychodera flava. RNAcentral's name for it is "Pfl-Mir-4829-P2_pre stem-loop". Lineage: Eukaryota; Metazoa; Hemichordata; Enteropneusta; Ptychoderidae. The record is from RNAcentral.
CAGGCGUUUGUGUUGAGCACAUUGUGGUUGAUACAAAUACUUCUAAAUGUACUCUUCCCAACGCCUGGC